AACGAACGCUGGCGGCAGGCUUAACACAUGCAAGUCGAACGCAUCCUUCGGGGUGAGUGGCAGACGGGUGAGUAACACGUGGGAACGUACCUUUCAGUUCGGAAUAACCCAGGGAAACUUGGGCUAAGACCGGAUACGCCCUUUUGGGGAAAGAUUUAUCGCUGAGAGAUCGGCCCGCGUCUGAUUAGCUAGUUGGUGAGGUAAAGGCUCACCAAGGCGACGAUCAGUAGCUGGUCUGAGAGGAUGAUCAGCCACAUUGGGACUGAGACACGGCCCAAACUCCUACGGGAGGCAGCAGUGGGGAAUAUUGGACAAUGGGCGCAAGCCUGAUCCAGCCAUGCCGCGUGAGUGAUGAA
RNAcentral lists this ribosomal RNA (356 nucleotides) under uncultured bacterium. Its description in RNAcentral is "bacterial SSU rRNA". It matches the Rfam family "Bacterial small subunit ribosomal RNA", at positions 29 to 412 of the family's 1533-position model. The record is from RNAcentral.